CUACGGGAUGCAGCAGUGGGGAAUAUUGGACAAUGGGGGGAACCCUGAUCCAGCAAUGCCGCGUGUGUGAAGAAGGCCUGCGGGUUGUAAAGCACUUUCGGUUGGGAGGACUGCUUCUAGCACUAAUAUUGUUGGAAGUUGACGUUACCUUCAGAAGAAGCACCGGCUAACUCCGUGCCGGCAGCCGCGGUAAUACGGAGGGUGCAAGCGUUAAUCGGAAUUACUGGGCGUAAAGCGCGCGUAGGCGGCUAGAUCAGUCGGGUGUGAAAGCCCCGGGCUUAACCUGGGAACUGCAUCCGAUACUGUCUAGCUUGAGUACAGGAGAGGAGAGUGGAAUUCCACAUGUAGCGGUGAAAUGCGUAGAUAUGUGGAGGAACACCAGUGGCGAAGGCAGCUCUCUGGCCUGAUACUGACGCUGAGGUGCGAAAGCGUGGGGAUCAAACAGGAUUAGAUACCCUUGUAGUC
RNAcentral lists this ribosomal RNA (465 nucleotides) under uncultured bacterium. RNAcentral describes it as "partial 16S ribosomal RNA". It matches the Rfam family "Bacterial small subunit ribosomal RNA", at positions 339 to 795 of the family's 1533-position model. The record is from RNAcentral.